Molecule: long non-coding RNA, 552 nt
Organism: Culex quinquefasciatus (southern house mosquito)
Lineage: Eukaryota; Metazoa; Arthropoda; Insecta; Diptera; Culicidae
Exons: 4
Source: RefSeq, a predicted model, not a curated record
AAAAGGGUUGCGCUUGGUCGAAGGAGCUACACAAUUUUGAAAACUGGCCCAAAUUGACGAAAGCGAUGCUGCUAUUUCAAACUGAGGAAAAGAUUACUUUUGCAGACCAAAUCGAUUUUAAUUGGUUUGAUUCAACUUCAGUGCAUAACGGAUUAGGGCAAUAGAUCGAUCGAAUUGAACUUCCAUUCGGCCAAAACCACGAUCCAGACAUUUCUGAAAUGAUCAAGCCAACUUUAACAGGGAACCUGGAAACAGAAUCGCGUGGAUUUCUUCGGAGAAAGUGGAGCAUUUCGCAGCAUGUUUUUGUUUGUUGAACUCAAGAACAACAAGAUCACCAGAUGAACUCUCGGUUAUCCGACGUUGCACGACUGCGCCGUUUUCCUUCAGAACAAUCUUCAGAACCGGCUGCUGAAGUAACCUCUGGGACCCCUCCAUCCGACCAACAAUUUCCAAAGAAUGACGGAGAUGGAGCUGAUCGUGGUGUACAGCUUUGGUCAACUCUACCACAGCGGAUACCUCCCUGAACUGUGUUUUUCUUCUGUAUUAGUUUAU